UGGGGAAUUUUGGACAAUGGGCGCAAGCCUGGUCCACAAUGCCGCGUGCAGGAUGAAGGCCCUCGGGUUGUAAACUGCUUUUGUACGGAGCGAAACGGCUUCCCCUAAUACGGGGAGCUAAUGACGGUACCGUAAGAAUAAGCACCGGCUAACUACGUGCCAGCAGCCGCGGUAAUA
Molecule: ribosomal RNA, 177 nt
Filed under: uncultured bacterium
Lineage: Bacteria
Description: partial 16S ribosomal RNA
Rfam family: Bacterial small subunit ribosomal RNA
Source: RNAcentral